Molecule: ribosomal RNA, 405 nt
Filed under: Anisus sp. DCLF73
Lineage: Eukaryota; Metazoa; Mollusca; Gastropoda; Planorbidae
Description: partial large subunit ribosomal RNA
Rfam family: Archaeal large subunit ribosomal RNA (bases 1-146)
Source: RNAcentral
AACAUAGUUUUAUGAAAAAAUAUAAAAUAAUUUCUGCCCAAUGUAUUUUUAUCAAUGGCCGCAGUACCUUGACUGUGCUAAGGUAGCGUAAUCAAUUGGCUUUUAAUUGAAGUCUAGUAUGAAAGGGAUAAUGGAAUUUAGCUGUCUAAAGAUUUUUAUUAAAAUUUAUUUAUAAGGUGAAAAUACCUUUAUUUAAAAUAAAGACGAGAAGACCCUAUGAAUUUUUAAUAAAUUUUUGUUGGGGCGACAGUUUAAAAAUAAAUCUUAAGUUAAUUAAUAUAACGAAUAUAUUAAUAUAAAUAAAAUUACCUUAGGGAUAACAGCAUUAUUAUUUAAAUAGUUUGUGACCUCGAUGUUGGACUAGGAACUAUACGGCUAGCCGUCUUUAUAGAUUUGUUCUGUUCG